GGCGUGCCUAAUACAUGCAAGUCGAGCGAACAGAUGAGAAGCUUGCUUCUCUGAUGUUAGCGGCGGACGGGUGAGUAACACGUGGGUAACCUACCUAUAAGACUGGGAUAACUCCGGGAAACCGGGGCUAAUACCGGAUAAUAUUUUGAACCGCAUGGUUCAAUAGUGAAAGACGGUUUCGGCUGUCACUUAUAGAUGGACCCGCGCCGUAUUAGCUAGUUGGUAAGGUAACGGCUUACCAAGGCGACGAUACGUAGCCGACCUGAGAGGGUGAUCGGCCACACUGGAACUGAGACACGGUCCAGACUCCUACGGGAGGCAGCAGUAGGGAAUCUUCCGCAAUGGGCGAAAGCCUGACGGAGCAACGCCGCGUGAGUGAUGAAGGUCUUCGGAUCGUAAAACUCUGUUGUUAGGGAAGAACAAAUUUGUUAGUAACUGAACAAGUCUUGACGGUACCUAACCAGAAAGCCACGGCUAACUACGUGCCAGCAGCCGCGGUAAUACGUAGGUGGCAAGCGUUAUCCGGAAUUAUUGGGCGUAAAGCGCGCGUAGGCGGUUUCUUAAGUCUGAUGUGAAAGCCCACGGCUCAACCGUGGAGGGUCAUUGGAAACUGGGAAACUUGAGUGCAGAAGAGGAGAGUGGAAUUCCAUGUGUAGCGGUGAAAUGCGCAGAGAUAUGGAGGAACACCAGUGGCGAAGGCGGCUCUCUGGUCUGUAACUGACGCUGAUGUGCGAAAGCGUGGGGAUCAAACAGGAUUAGAUACCCUGGUAGUCCACGCCGUAAACGAUGAGUGCUAAGUGUUAGGGGGUUUCCGCCCCUUAGUGCUGCAGCUAACGCAUUAAGCACUCCGCCUGGGGAGUACGACCGCAAGGUUGAAACUCAAAUGAAUUGA
Molecule: ribosomal RNA, 892 nt
Filed under: uncultured Staphylococcus sp.
Lineage: Bacteria; Bacillati; Bacillota; Bacilli; Caryophanales; Staphylococcaceae
Description: bacterial SSU rRNA
Rfam family: Bacterial small subunit ribosomal RNA
Source: RNAcentral